UGGCGCACGGGUGCGUACACGUGGGAACUACACCUAAGUACGGAAUACUCACCGAAAGGUGUGCUAAUACCGUAUAGUCCCUCCGGGGUAAGAUUAUCGCUUAGGAAUGGGCCCGCGCCUGAUUAGGUAGUUGGUAGGGUAAAAGCCUACCAAGCCUACGAUCAGUAGCUGGUCUGAGAGGAUGAUCAGCCACACUGGAACUGACACACGGUCCAGACUCCUACGGGAGGCAGCAGUGAGGAAUAUUGCGCAAUGGGGGAAACCCUGACGCAGCCAUGCCGCGUGAGUGAAGAAGGCCCUAGGGUUGUAAAGCUCUUUCAGAUGCGAAGAUAAUGACGGUAACAUCAGAAGAAGCUCCGGCUAAAUUCGUGCCAGCAGCCGCGGUAAAUACGAAUGGAGCGAGCGUUGUUCGGAAUCACUGGGCGUAAAGCGUGCGCAGGCGGAAAAUCAAGUCAGGAGUGAAAUCCCAGGGCUCAACCCUGGAACUGCUCUUGAAACUGAUUUUCUAGAGUCCGGUAGAGGUUAGCGGAAUUCCGAGUGUAGAGGUGAAAUUCGCAGAUAUUCGGAGGAACACCAGUAGCGUAGGCGGCUAACUGGACCGGAACUGACGCUCAGGCACGAAAGCGUGGGGAUCAUACAGGAUUAGAUACCCUGGUAAUCCACGCCGUAAACGAUGUGUGCUAGCCGUCGGGGGCUCAGCCUUCGGUGGCACAGCUAACGCAUUAAGCACACCGCCUGGGGAGUACGGCCGCAAGGUUAAAACUCAAAGGAAUUGACGGGGACCCGCACAAGCGGUGGAGCAUGUUGUUUAAUUCGACGCAGCGCGAAGAACCUUACCACCCCUUGACAUCCUGGUCAGGGAUCGCAGAGAUGCUUUCCUUCGGUUCGGCCGGACCAGUGACAGGUGCUGCAUGGCUGUCGUCAGCUCGUGUCGUGAGAUGUUGGGUUAAGUCCCGCAACGAGCGCAACCCCUAUCGUAUGUUGCCAGCAGGUUAAGCUGGGCACUCGUGCGAUACUGCCGGUGAUAAGCCGGAGGAAGGCGGGGACGAGGUCAAGUCAUCAUGGCCCUUACGGGGUGGGCUACAAACGUGCUACAAUGGCUGCUACAGUGGGCAGCGAGGUCGCGAGGCCAAGCUAAUCUCCAAAAGCAGUCUCAGUUCGGAUUGUUCUCUGCAACUCGAGAGCAUGAAGUCGGAAUCGCUAGUAAUCGUGGAUCAGCAUGCCACGGUGAAUACGUUCCCGGGUCUUGUACACACCGCCCGUCAAGUGAUGGGAGUUGGUUUUACCCGAAGACGGUGCGCUAACCUUUGGG
Molecule: ribosomal RNA, 1312 nt
Filed under: uncultured organism
Description: bacterial SSU rRNA
Rfam family: Bacterial small subunit ribosomal RNA
Source: RNAcentral